Long non-coding RNA from Pseudophryne corroboree (corroboree frog), 731 nucleotides. RefSeq lists it as uncharacterized. The transcript has 3 exons. Lineage: Eukaryota; Metazoa; Chordata; Amphibia; Anura; Myobatrachidae. The record is from RefSeq and is a predicted model, not a curated record.
GAUAACGGGACGCAUUCUACCUCCAGCCAAUAGGUAGAGAGGGAGGAGACAGGCACUGGAACGCUAUUGGCGGAUGGAGAUCACCCGUGUGAAUGAGCCAGUCCUCGCAUAGCCUGCAUGCUGAGAGUGACAGCUGGGCGCUGGGUCUCUCUCACUCGUGUGGUCUACUACGGUCACUGAACGCACGCUGCAGACAGACACUACGGGGGUUAUGGCAGCUGAGUUACAUACUCCAUAGUGGCAGAAGUUACCUAGCUGUUACAGCGCCUCCUGCUGGCGGCGGCCAGUACAGGCCUCCGGGAGAAUGUCUGUCUGCAGGAGGAGAGAGGAGGAGAGGGCUCGCUCGACUCCUGCAGGAGUUUACUUUUUGGUGAGAAAAAGCAAAUUUUUUUUCGAUUUUGGGUGUGGUCCACAAAAACAAGACUUUAUUUCUUUAGGAGCAGGAGUUUAUUUUUUGUUGAGAAAAACCAAUUUUGUAUUCAUUUUUGGGUGUGGUCCACAAAAACAAGACUUUAUUUCUUUAGGAGCAGGUAAGUGUCGUUGGCCUGUGUUGGAGCUUGUUUGUUGGAAGUGUCUGUAUGCUGUUUUUGACUGUCAUUUGUGUUCUCUUGUAGGAGUUUAUUUUUUGUUGAGAAAAACCAAUUUUGUAUUCAUUUUUGGGUGUGGUCCACAAAAACAAGACUUUAUUUCUUUAGGAGCAGGUAAGUGUCCUUGGCCUGUGUUGGUGCUUG